RNAcentral lists this ribosomal RNA (312 nucleotides) under uncultured bacterium. Its description in RNAcentral is "bacterial SSU rRNA". It matches the Rfam family "Bacterial small subunit ribosomal RNA", at positions 30 to 334 of the family's 1533-position model. The record is from RNAcentral.
AUUGAACGCUAGCGGGAUGCCUUACACAUGCAAGUCGAACGGCAGCAUAAGAGAGCUUGCUCUCUUGAUGGCGAGUGGCGAACGGGUGAGUAAUGUAUCGGAACGUGCCCAGUAGCGGGGGGUAACUACGCGAAAGCGUAGCUAAUACCGCAUACGCCCUACGGGGGAAAGGAGGGGAUCCGCAAGGACCUUUCACUAUUGGAGCGGCCGAUAUCGGAUUAGCUAGUUGGUGAGGUAAGGGCUCACCAAGGCGUCGACGGGUAGCCGGCCUGAGAGGGUGACCGGCCACAUUGGGACUGAGAUACGGCCCAG